GGCAACCCUGACGGAGCAAGACCGCGUGGGGGAGGAAGGUCUGUGGAUUGUAAACCCCUUUUGACUGGGAAGAACACAAUGACGGUACCAGUCGAAUCAGCCUCGGCUAACUCCGUGCCAGCAGCCGCGGUAAUACGGAGGAGGCAAGCGUUAUCCGGAUUUAUUGGGCGUAAAGCGUCCGCAGGUGGCGAUACAAGUCUGCUGUCAAAGCGCGAAGCUCAACUUCGUAUAGGCAGUGGAAACUGUAUGGCUUGAGGGUGAUAGGGGCAGAGGGAAUUCCCAGUGUAGCGGUGAAAUGCGUAGAGAUUGGGAAGAACACCGGUGGCGAAAGCGCUCUGCUGGGUCACACCUGACACUGAGGGACGAAAGCUAGGGGAGCG
Molecule: ribosomal RNA, 380 nt
Filed under: uncultured soil crust cyanobacterium
Lineage: Bacteria; Bacillati; Cyanobacteriota
Description: bacterial SSU rRNA
Rfam family: Bacterial small subunit ribosomal RNA
Source: RNAcentral